UCCCUGGUGGGCCAGUGGUUAAGAUUCUGCACUCUCAAUGCAGGGGACCUGGGUUCGAUCCCUGGUUGGAGAA
Molecule: transfer RNA, 73 nt
Filed under: Bos taurus (domestic cattle)
Lineage: Eukaryota; Metazoa; Chordata; Mammalia; Artiodactyla; Bovidae
Also listed under: 5 other names
Rfam family: tRNA
About the family: Transfer RNA (tRNA) molecules are approximately 80 nucleotides in length. Their secondary structure includes four short double-helical elements and three loops (D, anti-codon, and T loops). Further hydrogen bonds mediate the characteristic L-shaped molecular structure. tRNAs have two regions of fundamental functional importance: the anti-codon, which is responsible for specific mRNA codon recognition, and the 3' end, to which the tRNAs corresponding amino acid is attached (by aminoacyl-tRNA synthetases). tRNAs cope with the degeneracy of the genetic code in two manners: having more than one tRNA (with a specific anti-codon) for a particular amino acid; and 'wobble' base-pairing, i.e. permitting non-standard base-pairing at the 3rd anti-codon position.
Source: Rfam by way of RNAcentral